RNAcentral lists this ribosomal RNA (490 nucleotides) under uncultured bacterium. Its description in RNAcentral is "partial 16S ribosomal RNA". It matches the Rfam family "Bacterial small subunit ribosomal RNA", at positions 28 to 507 of the family's 1533-position model. The record is from RNAcentral.
GAUGAACGCUAGCGGCAGGCCUAAUACAUGCAAGUCGAACGGGAUCCAGAUCAAAGCUUGCUUUGGUCUGGUGAGAGUGGCGCACGGGUGCGUAACGCGUGAGCAACCUACCCUUGUCAGGGGGAUAGCCCGGCGAAAGUCGGAUUAAUACCGCAUGACAUCAUUGAGAGGCAUCUUUCGAUGAUCAAAGAUUUAUCGGACAAGGAUGGGCUCGCGUGACAUUAGCUAGUUGGUAAGGUAACGGCUUACCAAGGCUGCGAUGUCUAGGGGCUCUGAGAGGAGAAUCCCCCACACUGGUACUGAGACACGGACCAGACUCCUACGGGAGGCAGCAGUAAGGAAUAUUGGUCAAUGGACGGAAGUCUGAACCAGCCAUGCCGCGUGCAGGAAGACGGCCCUAUGGGUUGUAAACUGCUUUUAUACGGGAACAAACGUCGGUACGUGUACCGGUCUGAGUGUACCGUAAGAAUAAGGAUCGGCCAACUCCGUG